This 499-nucleotide ribosomal RNA is filed under the name uncultured bacterium. RNAcentral's name for it is "partial 16S ribosomal RNA". It matches the Rfam family "Bacterial small subunit ribosomal RNA", at positions 28 to 507 of the family's 1533-position model. The record is from RNAcentral.
GACGAACGCUGGCGGCGUGCUUAACACAUGCAAGUCGAACGGGCCCGCUCUCUUUUUUGGGGGUGGGUUGAGUGGCGAACGGGUGAGUAUCACGUGAGUAACCUGCCCCCUGCUCCUGGAUAACUGCUUGAAAGGGCGGCUAAUACGGGGUGUGCCGGCUGGUCCGCAUGGGCCUGGUCGGGAUAGUUUCAUCUUCGGGUGUUUCGGUGGGGGAUGGGCUCGCGGCCUAUCAGCUUGUUGGGGGGGUGAUGGCCCACCAAGGCGGUGACGGGUAGCCGGCCUGAGAGGGUGGGCGGCCCCACUGGGACUGGGACACGGCCCAGACUCCUGCGGGCGGCAGCAGUGGGGGGUAUUGCACAAUGGGCGGAAGCCUGAUGCAGCGACGUCGCGUGAGGGAUGGAGGCCUUCGGGUUGUGAACCUCUUUCUCCGGUGGUGAAGGCCCUGUCCGUUGCGGCGGGGUUGACGGUAGCCGGGUAUGAAGCGCCGGCUAACUACGUG